RNAcentral lists this ribosomal RNA (469 nucleotides) under uncultured bacterium. RNAcentral's name for it is "partial 16S ribosomal RNA". It matches the Rfam family "Bacterial small subunit ribosomal RNA", at positions 28 to 507 of the family's 1533-position model. The record is from RNAcentral.
GACGAACGCUGGCGGCGUGCUUAACACAUGCAAGUCGAACGGAAAGGCCCUGCUUGCCGGGUGCUCGAGUGGCGAACGGGUGAGUAACACGUGGGUGAUCUGCCCCUUACUUUGGGAUAAGCCUGGGAAACUGGGUCUAAUACUGGAUAGGACCAUGCUGUAGGUGGUGUGGUGGAAAGAUUAGUUUCGGUAAGGGAUGAGCUCGCGGCCUAUCAGCUUGUUGGUGGGGUAAUGGCCUACCAAGGCGUCGACGGGUAGCCGGCCUGAGAGGGUGGACGGCCACAUUGGGACUGAGAUACGGCCCAGACGCCUACGGGAGGCAGCAGUGGGGAAUAGUGCACAAUGGGCGCAAGCCUGAUGCAGCGACGCCGCGUGGGGGAUGACGGCCUUCGGGUUGUAAACUCCUUUCAGCCAUGACGAAGCCCUUGUGGUGACGGUAGUGGUAGAAGAAGCACCGGCUAACUACGUG